GCGGGAGUAGCCAAGCCAGGUCAAAGGCGGCGGACUUAAGAUCGUAACAAACUAUGGGGUCACGAUAAGUUAUCCGCUCUCGUAGGAGUUCGUGGGUUCGAACCCCACCUCCCGCA
This 116-nucleotide transfer RNA is filed under the name Candidatus Thorarchaeota archaeon AB_25. RNAcentral describes it as "tRNA-Leu". It matches the Rfam family "tRNA". From Rfam's summary of the family: Transfer RNA (tRNA) molecules are approximately 80 nucleotides in length. Their secondary structure includes four short double-helical elements and three loops (D, anti-codon, and T loops). Further hydrogen bonds mediate the characteristic L-shaped molecular structure. tRNAs have two regions of fundamental functional importance: the anti-codon, which is responsible for specific mRNA codon recognition, and the 3' end, to which the tRNAs corresponding amino acid is attached (by aminoacyl-tRNA synthetases). tRNAs cope with the degeneracy of the genetic code in two manners: having more than one tRNA (with a specific anti-codon) for a particular amino acid; and 'wobble' base-pairing, i.e. permitting non-standard base-pairing at the 3rd anti-codon position. The record is from RNAcentral. Lineage: Archaea; Promethearchaeati; Candidatus Thorarchaeota.